Molecule: RNA transcript, 1365 nt
Organism: Propithecus coquereli (Coquerel's sifaka)
Lineage: Eukaryota; Metazoa; Chordata; Mammalia; Primates; Indriidae
Gene name: S-adenosylmethionine decarboxylase proenzyme pseudogene
Exons: 2
Source: RefSeq, a predicted model, not a curated record
UCUCUCGGUGACGGAAGCUGCACAUUUUUUGGAAGGAAUGGAGAAGCUGCUGGAGGUUUGGUUCUCCCACAGCAACCUGACACAAACCAAGGAUCUGGGGAUCUUCGCACUAUCCCGAGAUCUGAGUGGGACAUAUACUUACAUACUCUGGAUUUCCCAGAGAGUCGAGUAAUCAGUCAGCCAGAAAAGACCCUGGAAAUUCUGAUGAGUGAGCUUGACUCAGCAGUUAUGGACCAGUUCUACAUGAAAGAUGGUGUUACGGCAAAGGAUGUCACUCGUGAGACUGGAAUUCGUGACCUGAUACCAGGUUCUGUCAUUGAUGUUCAAUCUUUGUGGGUAUUAAAUGAAUGGAAUGAAAUCUGAUGGAACUUAGUGGACUAUUCACAUCACUCCAAAACCAGAACUUUCUUAUGUUAGCUUUGAAACAAACUUAAGUCAGACUUCCUAUGCUGACCUGAUCACGAAAGUUGUGGAAGUCUUCAAGCCAGGAAAAUCUGUGACCACCUUGUUUGUUAAUCAGAGUUCUAAAUGUUGCACAGUGCUUGCUUCGCCCCAGAAGAUUGAAGGCUUUAAACAUCUUGAUUGCCAGAGUGCUAUGUUCAAUGAUUACAAUUUUGUUUUUACCAGUUUUGUUAAGAAGCAGCAACAACAGCAGAGUUGAUUAAGAAAAAUGAAGAAAAACGCAAAAAGAGAACACAAGCAGAAGGUGGUGGCUGCUUUCUAGAUGUUAAUACCGGAGGCCAUGCUUUCCAUAACCACCACCUACCUUGUAGUUGCAGAGAGGACUAGAUGUAAUGAUAGUGUAAUCAUUUUGAAUUGUAUGCAUUAUUAUAUCAAAGAGUUAGAUAUAUUCCAUGAAUAUUCUCUUCUGUGUUUAGGUAUUCUAUGCCAUUCUUGCUGUGAAAUUGAUGUGCAUGUAGAAAAAACCUUUUACUGUAUGGAACUUUACAACCCUUGUGAAAACAAUUCAAUUUGGUUUAUGCACAGUGUAAUAUUUCUCUAGGUAUCAUCCAAAAUUCCUCACGGACAAGGCUUUCGUUCUCAUUGGGUGUUGGCCUCAGCCAAACCAUCUGGGACUGUUCUAUUAAACUGCUGGCAGAAUUUUACAUACAGUUACCUCCACUUUCUAGAACUAAUUAUUUACUAAUGUUAUUGGAACCAAUUUCUACUUCAUACAGAUGUUUUUUGCAACAGAAAUUAAAGUUUUUUCCCACAAAUCAGGUCCUGUUAAGAAAAUGAUUCCAGUUACUUGUUUUGUGUAUUACUAUUUUAAAAUUAUUGGUCCAUGCAUUUGUAGUCCUAUAAUUGAUUUCUUCUCUCACUAGGGUGUCUUUCCUCAAACCCUCCAAAUAAAGCACUACACUG